This 405-nucleotide ribosomal RNA is filed under the name uncultured bacterium. Its description in RNAcentral is "partial 16S ribosomal RNA". It matches the Rfam family "Bacterial small subunit ribosomal RNA", at positions 28 to 526 of the family's 1533-position model. The record is from RNAcentral.
GAUGAACGCUGGCGGCGUGUCUAAUACAUGCAAGUCGAGCGAAGCGGGGACGGGUGAUUAACACGUGGAUAACCUCCUCUCAUACUGGGAUAACUUCGGGAAACCGGAUCUAAUCCGGAUCCUUAUAGCUUGUUCCGCGCUGCAUUAGCUAGUUGGUAAGGUAACGGCUUAACAAGGUAACGAUGCAUAGCCGACCUGAGAGGGGGAUCGGCCAAACUGGAACUGAGACACGGUCCAGAUUCCGACGGGAGGCAGCAGGAGGGAAUCUUCCGCAAUGGGCGAAAGCCUGACGGAGCAACGCCGCGUGAGUGAUGAAGGUCUUCGGAUCGUAAAACUCUGUUAUUAGGGAAGCGGUACCUAUUCAGAAAGCCACGGCGAACUACGUGCCAGCAGCCGCGGUAAUUC